This 230-nucleotide long non-coding RNA is filed under the name Theobroma cacao (cacao). Its description in RNAcentral is "long non-coding RNA (TCAC_LNC001989)". Lineage: Eukaryota; Viridiplantae; Streptophyta; Magnoliopsida; Malvales; Malvaceae. The record is from RNAcentral.
UUUCAUAAAAAUUUGGCUCAUGCCAUCAAAUAGUACUCGAUGACACCUUGAUCAGAGGUGUACACUCGAGCCCACCAAGGCUGUUAAAAUUUUUGUAUACACGUAAAACAUAUUUUUAGUUUGAGAAAACACAGUCGUUCCUUGGCGUUGGCUGAGUUCCCCUUCAUGUGGUGGUUCGACGUGAAGUGAACCCUAAGCUUUACCCUAGGAGAUACCCUAUGCGCCUCUCC